GCGCUCACUUCGGCAGCACAUAUACAAAAAAUUAGAACAAUACAGAGAUUAGCACAGCCUCUGUGCAAGGAGGACACGCAGAUUUGUGAAGCGCUUCAUACUUCA
Molecule: small nuclear RNA, 105 nt
Organism: Erinaceus europaeus (western European hedgehog)
Lineage: Eukaryota; Metazoa; Chordata; Mammalia; Eulipotyphla; Erinaceidae
Source: Ensembl